CAAAUACUCACUAAAUUUGUGCUUAUAAAUUCACUUUUGAAUUUCACACUUUUUUCAAGCUUAUUUUCUAUAACUAACUCUAAAUUUCUCAAGCAAAAAGAAAGGGGGAAUUUGGAGAUACACUAGUCCAAGAAGCAUGCUCCCUCCAAGAAUCUCCUAACUUUUUCAAAUCAACAAGAGAAGAUCCACCUCCUCCUCUUGCUUCCUUAGCACUUAUUUUCAUCUUCAAAAUUGUCUCUCUAACCUCUUUCCCCUUUUCUGAUUCCAUCAACUCCUUAACUCUCUCCCCCAACUCAUUUUCACUCACAAACCCAUCUUUUGACUCAUUCAAUUCCAAAGCCACUUUCCAUUCUUGCACCAAAAUCAAUCUAUUCAUCUUCUGCUCCGCGUAAAGUGGCCACGUUAUCAUUGGAACUCCUUCGCAAAUAGCUUCCAACACGGAGUUCCAUCCACAAUGAGUCACGAACCCACCAACUGAGCUAUGUCUUAGUAUUGAACCUUGUGGUGCCCAGUUUCUAACAACCAUUCCCUUCUCCUUUGUCCUCUCCAAAAACCCUUCUGGCAACAACUCAUCCAAACUUAGUUCCUCCGACUCCAUAUCGCUCCUAACAAUCCACAAGAAUCUUUGUUCACUUUUUUCCAAACCAAUAGCUAUCUGAUUAAUUUGAGCCUUAGAAAAUCUCCCUAAGCUUCCAAAGCUCAACAAAACGACGCUUUGACCUGGCUGUGAAUCGAGCCAACUCAAACACCCACUUUUAUCUUCUUCACACGAGGUUGACACUACGGGUCCGAUGCAAAAAAGCAACGGAGUGGUUCCAUCAGGAACACACAAUCCAUUUCUUAAAGCUUUAAUAGCUUUCUUUUCAAUAGCAUCGAAAGUGUUUACGAUAAUCCCAUCACUUUCCCUUAAUGAUUUAGCUGACUGAAGCAAAACCUGGUAACUUGGACUUGAUGGAUCCUUCCCUUCAUCAGGAUAAUCUUCCUUCGAUAGCCUCGGUAACCCGGGAAGUUCAAUAGGUGUAUGCAUGUUAUAGUCCUUAAUAGGUAUUGUAGCGUUUUUGUGAAAAGUUGGAAAGUUAAGAAAAAGGCAUAGAAGAGAAGCUCCUGAGGUGUAGUAAAAGUAAGUUGGAAUUUCAAGAUUGUUGGUAACUUGUGAAGCACUAUAGUUAAGGAAAUCCAACAUAACUGCUUUAAGGUUUGAGGUUUUUGCAAUGGAUUGAAGAAUAUGAUGAACAUGGUGGUUGCUACGAGGAGAGAGUUCUAGGGUUUGUAAAUGAGGUGGAAGAGUAAAAGUGAAUGAAAUUGAAGGAAUAUAGUGGAAGUUGAUAGAGGGAAAUUUGUUUGAGACAGAUGAUAUAUAUUGAGACGUGGAAACGUUAAUGGUGUUGGUGUCUUGGUUGGGGGGUGUGAGAAUGAGAAUUUUGAUGGAAAAUGAAGGGUGGUGAGUUAGUAUGAGUUUUCCUAACUCAACCAUGGACAUUAAGUGUCCACUUCCAAAGGCAGGGUAGAGAACUAUAGUGUCCUUCAUGUUUAACUAAUUUUGGUAUAGAAUUUUUAUGGAAUAUGGGAGAAUAUUUACUCUAAAGUGUUGUGAUUUUCUAGGCAAGGAAAUGAGUGUAUUUAUGGACACUUUUGUGCCCUAUGGGUCAACUAAAAA
This 1657-nucleotide long non-coding RNA is filed under the name Medicago truncatula (barrel medic). Its description in RNAcentral is "lncRNA gene35251". Lineage: Eukaryota; Viridiplantae; Streptophyta; Magnoliopsida; Fabales; Fabaceae. The record is from RNAcentral.